UUGAAUGAAACUUCUGGCUGGGAUGCUGUUUGCUGGCCCUUCGGGGUAAUGUGCACGCUUCUGGUCAUUUGUUUCUUUUGUUCCACCUGUGCACUGCCUGUAGUCACAUACCUUUGUGACUAUGAUAUGUUUACAUGCACUUAUUUAUAUGUAUGUUAGUUGGCUUGUAAAUAACAUUUUA
RNAcentral lists this unclassified non-coding RNA (181 nucleotides) under uncultured Amanita. RNAcentral's name for it is "sequence contains ITS1". Lineage: Eukaryota; Fungi; Basidiomycota; Agaricomycetes; Agaricales; Amanitaceae. The record is from RNAcentral.